GUUCAAGUACGAGGACGGCAUCGUCACCGUCGAUGUGCCGUGGACCGGGUCGUCGAAGAAGCUGUCGCGUGUCGAGUACUUUUACUAGUGUGGUUCAAUGCUGGAAAGAGACUAAGACAAAAUUUUCGGUCUUUUUAUUUUUUAUUUUACUUAGGUCGGAAAAUAAUUUGAGUGUGUGAGAGCUUUGUAAGUUGCUUAGCUCUGGUUGGUUUCGGUUGGAUUAUCAUUGUUACGGGUUUUAAACG
Molecule: unclassified non-coding RNA, 245 nt
Filed under: Hevea brasiliensis (rubber tree)
Lineage: Eukaryota; Viridiplantae; Streptophyta; Magnoliopsida; Malpighiales; Euphorbiaceae
Source: RNAcentral